AAAGCUCGUAGUCGGAUUUCUGGCUCGGAAGGGCGGUCCGUUCGGCUCAGUCGAAUGUGAACCAGCUCCUUCCGGCCAUCCUCGUGGAGAGCUGUUCCUGCCUUCAUUGGUUUGGUUCAUGCAAUCCACGUCAUUUACUGUGAACAAAUUAGAGUGUUCAAAGCAGGCUUACGCCACUGAAUACAUUAGCAUGGAAUAAUACUAUAGGACUUUGGUGAUUCUAUUGUUGGUUACGCACCAGGGUAAUGAUUAAUAGGGAUAGUUGGGGGUAUUAGUAUUCAAUUGUCAGAGGUGAAAUUCUUGGAUUUAAGAAAGACAAACUACAGCGAAAGCAUUUAUCAAGGAUGUUUUCAUUGAUCAAGAACGAAAGUUGGGGGAUCGAAGAUGAUUAGAUACCAUCGUAGUCUCAACUAUAAACUAUGCCGACUUGGGAUUGGAGGAUGUGAAUUUUUUAUAACACCUUCAGCACCACAUGAGAAAUCAAAGUCUUUGGGUUCCGGGGGGAGUAUGGUCGCAAGGCUGAAACUUAAAGGAAUUGACGGAAGGGCACACAAGUAGUGGAGCCUGCGGCUUAAUUUGACUCAACACGGGAAAACUUACCAGGUCCAGACAUAGUAAGGAU
This 622-nucleotide ribosomal RNA is filed under the name uncultured marine eukaryote. Its description in RNAcentral is "bacterial SSU rRNA". It matches the Rfam family "Eukaryotic small subunit ribosomal RNA", at positions 623 to 1240 of the family's 1831-position model. The record is from RNAcentral.